This 950-nucleotide small RNA is filed under the name Pongo abelii (Sumatran orangutan). Its description in RNAcentral is "retained intron". Lineage: Eukaryota; Metazoa; Chordata; Mammalia; Primates; Hominidae. The record is from RNAcentral.
AAACUUCAGCGUCACAGCUGAGGACUGGCUUCGUGGUCCCUGAUGGGAGAGCAUGAACAGGUGGUAUGUGAAGCCCUUGGAGACCAGCUCUUCCAAAGUCAAAGCCAAGACCAUUGUGAUGAUUCCCGACUCCCAGAAGCUCCUGCGAUGUGAACUUGAGUCGCUCAAGAGCCAGUUACAGGCCCAGACCAAGGCUUUCGAGUUCCUGAACCACUCAGUGACCAUGUUGGAGAAGGAGAGCUGCUUGCAGCAAAUCAAGAUUCAGCAGCUUGAAGAGGUGCUGAGCCCCACAGGCCGCCAGGGAGAGAAGGAGGAGCACAAGUGGGGCAUGGAGCAGGGCCGGCAGGAGCUGUAUGGGGCCCUGGCCCAAGGCCUUCAGGGGCUGGAGAAGACCCUGCGUGACAGUGAGGAGGUGCAGCGAGCCCACACCACUCGCUGCCUGCAGCUGCUGGCCCAGGAGAUCCGGGACAGGUCGGGGAUGGGGAUGGCGGGAGGGCAGCUUGGGGUCCACAUGAGGGAAGGGAGACCCAGAACUGGGGAAUGGAGGCAGGAUGGGGGAAAUGGCAGACGCCUGGGGGAGGCGGACUGAGGGAUGGUGGAAAGCCCGAGGGACAAGAAGAGGGAAUGAGGCCGGGUGUGGUGGCUCAUGCCUAUAAUCCCAGCACUUUGGGAAGCCAAGAUGGGUGGAUCACCUGAGGUCAGGAGUUCGAGACCAGCCUGGCCAACAUGGUGAAACCCCAUCUCUACUAAAAAUACAAGAAUUAGGCAUGGCGGCAGGUGCCUGUAAUCCCAGCUACUGGGGAAGCUGAAGCAGGAGAAUCACUGGAACCCAGGAGGCAGAGGCUGCAGUGAGCUGAGAUCGCGCCACUGCACUCCAGCCUGGGCGCCUGGGCGGCAGAGCGAGACUCUGUCUAAAAAAAAAAAAAAAAUGAGGAGGGAUGAGAGGCUCA